RNAcentral lists this transfer RNA (67 nucleotides) under Papuadytes sp. MB662. RNAcentral's name for it is "transfer RNA-Leu". Lineage: Eukaryota; Metazoa; Arthropoda; Insecta; Coleoptera; Dytiscidae. RNAcentral also lists the same sequence under 2 other names. The record is from RNAcentral.
AUUACUUUGGCAGAAAAAGUGUGAUGAAUUUAGAAUUCAUUUAUGUAAAUAAAUUUUACAAGUAAUA